This 195-nucleotide unclassified non-coding RNA is filed under the name uncultured Ascomycota. RNAcentral's name for it is "sequence contains ITS2". Lineage: Eukaryota; Fungi; Ascomycota. The record is from RNAcentral.
CAGCCAUCAAGCGCGGCUUGUGUGUUGGGCGCCUGCCCCCUGGGGCACACCCGAAAUUUAGGGAUCGUCUAGGUAAAGGACCCCCAGCGCAUGGGCACAUCACCCGCUGAAGGAGUUCUCGCCCCGGCUAUCGACCCCCGCGGCUUCAACCAAUCUUUGGUUAAGCCCCAGCCCAACUUUCUUUUGGGCAUUCUC